UGAAAUUCAAAAAUGCAAAUGCUAAUAGCCUUUUUUUUUUCACAAGUUUUUCAAGUGAUCUAGACAAUAAUCUACUAUAUUUCUAGAAUGUUGAAUCAAUAAAGCGACAACAAACUCUAUUAUCAUUGAGUGUUUAAGACAAAGAAAGUAUUUAACAAGCAUCAAAAGCAGUCCUCACUAUACAAACCAUAAGAUCUUCAGUGAACAGCUUCCCCUUGCACUUCCUCACUGCUAACUACAGGCACCUUCUCAUAAUCAGGAGUCCCUCUAAAUCUCUUGGGAAUGAUGCAACUGCCACCAUAUCGCUGCUGCAAGUAAAUAAAGGCAGCAAACAGCAGACCAACAAGUGGGAUAAUGAUGUCCCAUGCAGUGGAAUAAAAAUCCUGCCUGUGAUUUCCAUAUAUGUAUGAUAAAUCAAGGGACCAGGUGGAACUAUGAGCCCUGUAAAGGUCAUACGCAUGAGGCAGUAAACGGACAAUAGUUGUCCCGACAUAAAAGGUACAGGCAAGGGUAUUUUCUUUAGAAUUCAAGAAUACGUUGAACAUUAUCUGCGGGAGUAAAAAGCCAUCCAGAAUCAAACCAGCAUAAGAUUUAAGGUCUCUCCAAUGAUAAUGCCGCUGGUAACCCAUACGGCGUGGUUGUAGAUAUGGACUCCUAUAGGAAUUCUUCCAUUGGUGCACAUACCAAGCAAUCAACCCACCACCAACAAACAAUGGCAAGGCCAAAUAGAGAACCUUUUUCUCAGCAAGCCACAAACUUUUAUGGCUUCCAUCACUCUGCCUGGCAGACCAACUGAGUUGGAGCAGACGGAAUUGCAAAAGAAAUGCUACCAUUGUUACAACCCUCACUAUUACCUCAUUUACUUCAAGCCAUCCACCACUCUCAAGGAAAACAUUCUGUCUGUUAUGAUUUGCCAUGAACAGGGCUUCAAAAUUUAACAGAAGAGGUAUCAUGUAACCUAGUGUUAGAACCAUAAGCAUCACAAACGAAAUGAAGGGUAGCACAUCAGGAUGCUUUUUAGCAUGAUAGAGUUGCAAACCCACAAAGACACAAGCAAGAGUAUUAGAAAUCAAAACCAUGGUAAUCUCCAUAUCCAUUCUCCAUAUGGAUUCUGCUGCUUGGCUUGUAUAAAUUGAGUUUGAAGAUAUCUCAAUUUCCCAGAAGUAAAGAGGGUCCAACUUUUCCCGCAUGCUUUUAAUGGUUCCCUUGAUGUUAUUCCUACCCUUUGCAUUCAGUGGAGAAAAUUGAACAUUGAUCAGAAUCUGGCAGUCCUCUGAUUGAUUUUCUGUUGAGUUUUCAAGAAGAAAUAUUGGACGAGAACAGCCUAUCAUGCACAGCACACCAGUCUCAUUAUCAUAUGUCCCUUCAGCUGAAAUUUCUACGAAUUCAUUUGACAAAAGCUUAUUACCCAACUUAAAAUCAGAAGAAGCAGUGAAGCUCAUCUUGUAGCUAAUGUUUAUAAGACCACUGUUUGUGUUCACUCGAUAGGGCUCGAAAACCUGAUCACCCACAAACAAUGGGGAUGAAUAACCUUGUGCUAUUUUCCCUUUACCAUUAUUCGCCAAAAUAUGGAAUCUCAUGUCUGAUGAAUAAGCAUUAGGGUAUGCCUUUCCUUUGCGUCUCAUGGUCUUCUGUUUUGGACAGGAUUUACUCACCCUGUCAAACAUAGUAUACUUAUAUUUCAGACCUGGAAGGCCCCUUACCCUAUUCCCGGAACCAUGAAAUCUGAUUUCAUCAAAAUAGCCAGUCCCAUUCACUGGCAUGGUGCUCAAAAUUUUCCCUAGAACAGUACUCCCUUGUGUAAUUGUCAAGGUUUUAGGGAAUCUCAAGCUCAAUUGAAUUGAGCAAUCACCAAUAGAAGCAUUAACUAAUGAAUCCUUUAAAUUCAAGACUCGACAUGCAACCACACAGAGUCUAUCCUUCUUCUCAUCCCACACUCCCUCACCAAUUAACAUUCUAUUAGGAUAAAAAACUCUCUCAUAACUAAAAGGUCCAGAGCCAAAAUAACCAGAGUUUGAGAAUCCUAUCAAAACCCGAAUUCCACCCUCACGUUCACACCGAAUUCCUUGAAUUGUCAUAAACUUGGGCAAAAUCCCAGAGCUGCGACCAAGAGGGUCGCAAUUACCACCACCAUUACGAUCGCAUUCGUUUCCAUACUCCAAUUCAAAAGUCCUAGAGUACUUAUACAACUGACUUAAACAAGCACUGGGAUCUAGCCACUCUAAAUGUAAAUUAUCAUCCUCUCCACCACCAUCACUUCCACUAGAACACAAGUCACUACCACCUCUGUUUAUCAAUGUAUACUUAUAUUCACCAAAAUGAGGUAUCGCCAAAAUCGAAAUAGACUCAAAAUAACCCGAACUGCCUUUAUGAUUCAAACUCUCCAAAAACCCACUAAUCAAGCUACUAAUAUUACUAAAAUUCACUGGAUAAUUAAGCUUUAAAACAACAUUCGAAGAACUUACAACACCCAAAUUUGCAAAACUCGAUCCAGAUCCCACCAUACACAGCUUCCCAGUAUCCAUGGACCAAAACCCAUAAAGCUCGAACCCCAAAGACCCUGGACGGAUCGGAAUUCUCGGUGGACGGAACCUUAUCUCCCUCAAAUUGCGUUUCCACGUCAGGUUAAAGUGUGCAGGAAGGUGGAAUCUGAGAGUCGCUUGGAGCUUAAGGACGUGAGGAGUCUGCGUAAGAGAAAUAGUAUUCCUUUUCGGGUGGAAGGAGAGCGAAAUGGCAGGCAAAUCGGCAGUGAAGGCUCUUUUCGGGAAGAUUUGGUGGCCGCCAGUGAAAUAAGCAAUAUCAAAAUGAAGGACUUUGUCCUGGCCGAGAGCAAAGUUCAUGCGGGUUUCAGUAGAUGGGGAUUCUGGGAUGACUUGAUUACAGUGUUGGGUAUAAUAAGCAAGGAAAUUCGAAGAUGAAAUUGAGGUUGCUGCAGCUGCUGGGUUUGCGAGGAGACAGAAAUAAACUAAAAUGAGAAGGGUAGAGUAAGAGAAUUUAAGCGUUUUUGAAGGGUUUUUCAGGAAAAUGCAUUUCUGCAAUGGAAAAAAUUGAGAAGCAUCGCCAGUUUCCUCCAUUAGUCCUUCUCUCCGAAGGCGAAGAAGGUCCCCG
RNAcentral lists this unclassified non-coding RNA (3108 nucleotides) under Hevea brasiliensis (rubber tree). The record is from RNAcentral. Lineage: Eukaryota; Viridiplantae; Streptophyta; Magnoliopsida; Malpighiales; Euphorbiaceae.